AUGCGACGGUUGUGAGCACAGCCAAUUGAAUUAGAAAAGAUAAGCUUGAGUAAGAGAACAUGAACCAACGCAGGGUCUGCCCAAGCAAAGCUCCCAGAGUGGUGGGCCGCGAAAAAAGCCACUCAAUCAUUGGCGUUAUUCGCCACUCUGAAGAUGUGCAAAGUCCAUGAUAGUCCACACUAAGCUAAAAGUCUACGAAUGUUCCGGAGCAAUGGUUUGAAAUCGACAC
This 229-nucleotide long non-coding RNA is filed under the name Phoenix dactylifera (date palm). Its description in RNAcentral is "long non-coding RNA (PDAC_LNC003358)". Lineage: Eukaryota; Viridiplantae; Streptophyta; Magnoliopsida; Arecales; Arecaceae. The record is from RNAcentral.